GUGCCAGCAGCCGCGGUAAUACGUACCGUCCAAACGUUAUUCGGAUUUACUGGGCUUAAAGGGUGCGUAGGCGGCUCAGAAAGUAGGGUGUGAAAGCCCUCGGCUUAACCGAGGAAUUGCGCUCUAAACUACUGGGCUUGAGGAACGCAGAGGUAAGCGGAACUUACGGUGGAGCGGUGAAAUGCGUUGAUAUCGUAAGGAACACCAGGAGCGAAAGCGGCUUACUGGGCGUUUUCUGACGCUGAGGCACGAAAGCUAGGGGAGCGAACGGGAUUAGAUACCCCCGUAGUCC
This 292-nucleotide ribosomal RNA is filed under the name uncultured bacterium. Its description in RNAcentral is "partial 16S ribosomal RNA". It matches the Rfam family "Bacterial small subunit ribosomal RNA", at positions 505 to 796 of the family's 1533-position model. The record is from RNAcentral.